GAAAUGCGAUAAGUAAUGUGAAUUGCAGAAUUCAGUGAAUCAUCGAAUCUUUGAACGCACAUUGCGCCUGCUAGCAUUCUGGCAGGCAUGCUUGUUCGAGCGUCCUUAAUAACCCUCGGGCUCUGUAAACUUAGGUUUAUGGUACCCGGUGUUGGGAAGCCGCGGCAGCCGCGGCUCCCUAAAACCAGCGGCGGACCCGUCCGAGGCCUUGGCGUAGUAAUACUCUCGCCUUCGGCUCCUGGCUUGGCCCUGCCCCUAGAACCAUCUCAUUAAUUUGGACCUCGAAUCAAGUAGGAAUACCCGCUGAACUUAA
This 313-nucleotide unclassified non-coding RNA is filed under the name uncultured fungus. Its description in RNAcentral is "sequence contains ITS1". The stretch from base 1 to 105 matches the Rfam family "5.8S ribosomal RNA", at positions 50 to 154 of the family's 154-position model. The record is from RNAcentral. Lineage: Eukaryota; Fungi.